RNAcentral lists this ribosomal RNA (497 nucleotides) under uncultured bacterium. RNAcentral's name for it is "partial 16S ribosomal RNA". It matches the Rfam family "Bacterial small subunit ribosomal RNA", at positions 28 to 507 of the family's 1533-position model. The record is from RNAcentral.
GAUGAACGCUGGCGGCGUGCCUAAUACAUGCAAGUCGAGCGAACAGACGAGGAGCUUGCUCCUCUGACGUUAGCGGCGGACGGGUGAGUAACACGUGGAUAACCUACCUAUAAGACUGGGAUAACUUCGGGAAACCGGAGCUAAUACCGGAUAAUAUAUUGAACCGCAUGGUUCAAUAGUGAAAGACGGUCUUGCUGUCACUUAUAGAUGGAUCCGCGCCGCAUUAGCUAGUUGGUAAGGUAACGGCUUACCAAGGCAACGAUGCGUAGCCGACCUGAGAGGGUGAUCGGCCACACUGGAACUGAGACACGGUCCAGACUCCUACGGGAGGCAGCAGUAGGGAAUCUUCCGCAAUGGGCGAAAGCCUGACGGAGCGACGCCGCGUGAGUGAUGAAGGUCUUCGGAUCGUAAAACUCUGUUAUUAGGGAAGAACAAAUGUGUAAGUAACUAUGCACGUCUUGACGGUACCUAAUCAGAAAGCCACGGCUAACUACGUG